GGCCUUUUGGCUAAGAUCAAGUGUAGUAUCUGUUCUUAUCAGUUUAAUAUCUGAUACGUGGACCAAUGGUUCACACGAUAUUAAAUUAAUUUUUUAAGGGGAAGGGUUCAUUACAAUAGCUUGCUAUUGGAGCUCUUGCGUGUCGCCUAAGCGUUGCACUAUUUCUUGGGCCUGGCACACCCCACCAAAUCUAAGUUCAAAUUUUGACGGCCCAAUCCAAGUAACUUAUUUGCUAACCGCUAUAAUCCUCAUAAAUGUUGUGAUGGAAUGGAACGGAUGACGGAGUUUCGGAUUCAGGAAUGUGCAAGCUUUCGUAUUCUUCCCGAAGGUAAGGUAUGCGCAUGGAGAAUUUGUAAUGACAUCCUCCCAAUCAAAGCAAACCUCACUAGGAGACACGUGGGUGAUCGAUGAUCUGACUUGCCUCCUCUGUGGUUACGCGAGGAAGAACGUUUUUGACACCUCUCUGUGGACUACAUAAUAUUAUUUUAGAGUGCAAUUCACUCCAUAUCGUUUUAGCGUUUCAACAGCGUUCUUCUAAUUAGAGAAAUAACACGAUGUGAUCUCUCUAAAAAAUUCAUCAAAUAAGUUGAUUGAGCACAACUCAAAUUAACUUUGGAGAAUAGAUGACUACAAAAUACCUUCCUUUGUUUCUAUUUUGUUUUUGUUUUUUUAGUAACUUCCUGAGCAACACAUGAGUUGAUUUAAUUUAUUGGUGUUGUGCCUUUGCGUUUUAAAGCAAACGCAAAACAAAAUACCUUGGCAGUCCUAAGAGACGAGGUCAGGGACUAUGUCACAAAACGAAGUCAUGGUAGUUAACGUUGCGAGACAAGGUCACAUACAGCGUCGGGACUUGGGAUGUAGAGAGCGAGAUGAGGCAUAUGGUUCUUUCGUGAACGUUGGUGUCGAUUUCACACAGGGGAGAUGUUAUCCCAAUAAUUUGGCUCGAGUAAUUACUCAAUCAUGAAAACGAAAAAUCACCAAACGUGGAAUGGGAUACAAAUUUUACUCUCUUGUUGUUAACUUUACUACCAAAUGAUCCCCUAAAGAUGUUAGAUUGCAUCAGAUUGGAAUGGUAUGAUAUCAUGCGGCAUGUUUCAACCAUAGCAUUCUGCAAUCUCUCCAGUGAGUUAGAAGCAUUAACUAGUUACUUUUCAGAUUCCACUUACCCAUCUAGUUUCUUGUUUCGAGCUUUGUCGUUCGAAUCGAGCCAUGGAGAAGAAGUACCAAUCUCCAAGAUGCAGCCAGAAAGUGGAUGAGUUGAUCUCAGCUACAACUCUUGUACUGGGAAGAACAAGACCAAUGGCAUGGGUAUGAUGAUGAUUCGGAAGAGCUGGAUGACGAGUACUGGCCCAGUGAUGGAUGGGACUAAGGCAUGCGGAAGCGUGGUGGAAUAUGAUGACGACUCGUGGCAUCGACAAGACAUUAAGUGAUAUCCAAAGAAACAGUAUCUUAAAAUAAUAUGUGAUGUGACAAAAAUAAGAAUCUAUGAGAUAUAAAAUGUAAGUGUGAAUAAAGUAAUGUCUAAUAAGUUGUAAAGAGAGAUUCCCUUUCAUUGUUGUAGGUAAGCGACAAAAGAAUAUAAUGUCUCUUAGUCCUAGAUGAGGUUCAAAAGACUUCCUCCCUUGUCUACAAACUUGGUUGAGCAUUCAUACUUAGUUCACCAAGCAUUGUAAGAUAUUGAAGUAUCGUUAAAGAGAGUUUGUUUGUUUAACCCUCUUUGUUCAAUAUUCUUAGCUUGAGUGAGUCAUCCUAAAGAGCAGAGGUCCUAGUGUAAAGCUUAGUUUCCUUGUAGUGUUAAGUUUUAUUUUAAUUUCUGGAUUUUGGUGAUAAGAAGUGGUUUUAUAGGCCUGAGAGUGAUAAGAUAUAAUUGUUAGAAACAACACUGCAAGAAAGUAUUAUAGUCCCACAUCAGCCAGCUUAUUAAAUUAGGAGAGUUAAUUUGUAUAAAAAUGGAAGCCCAACAAUGAAAGAAUCAUACCUUUCUCGGCCUUUUGGCUAAGAUCAAGUGUAGUAUCUGUUCUUAUCAGUUUAAUAUCUGAUACGUGGACCAAUGGUCCACAGGAUAUUAAAUUAAUUUUUUAAGGGUAAGGGCUUAUUACAAUAGCUUGCUAUUGCGGUCAUCGAGUGUCGUCCAAGAGUUGCACUACUGCUCGGGCCUGGCACAACCCACCAAAUCAUAGUUUAGUCUUUAACAGCCUAACCAAGAAGCCAAACGUAGCCUAUUACCGAAGUAUUUAUUGGAACAUUUGACACUGACAGUUUCCCAACCAAAGAAACGGCCUCUCUUAAGUGCCUGAAGGAGAUGCUCUGGAUAAUCCUUGAUACAAACGACGCCGUGUAGUGAUUCCACUAAAAAUGCCAACUGCUGCAUCAAUCCCCUCGUUCACUGCACUCACCACUGACACAUCCGCUGCGCAGUCUAUGCAAUCAACUGCAACCAAUCGCAACCAAUCGGUUGUGAAGCAAUUAAAAUCAAUUUAAUCCAAUAUCUAAUCUCACUUGGUCAGCAUAAAAUCAGUUAAAUUUUAGUUAAUUACCUCCUGCAAGAGUGUAAACUAGAGAACGGUUCCUGAUAUCAACCACAUCCUCGAAGCUUGCACCGCAGAUGAGCUUGACCCAUUUGCCAUUUUCAAGAGAUUUUGCUGGAGAUGAGGUUUUUGAUGGAAUCCCAACAGUUCUUAUGAGAUUCUUCACUUCUUCAAGGCCUUUGCUGCUUGUAACCUUCACUUUGGCUGAAAUUUUUAGCACAAAACUUAACUGUUAGAGAGAGAGAGAAAGAGAGAGAGAGAAGAGACCUUGGUGUUGGUGGUGAGGAGAAAUUGAAGCAUUGCAGAAGAAGCUCAAAGCCAUCAUCUCAAACAUCCAUUAACGGAUAUUUCCCAAGAGCUGUAGUUUUGAGUUAUGUACUUUCACUAAUUUUUUCUAUUUUUUUAAUCUUAUUAGCUUAAUCCAUUUGCUUUUCUAUGAAUGCUUUACGGGAGCUGCUAGGUGUACUUGGGUUGAAGUACGUGGACAGAAAGAGUACUUCGAAAUAGUGCAUUAGAAACCCACAUCGACCACGGACAAAAGUAGAAGAACGAAGCUGCGUAUAAAAACGAAUGCCCAAUAUUGACAUAAGCAUACCUUUAUCGGCCUUUUGGUUAAUAUCAAGUGUAGUAUCUGUUAUUAUCAGUUUAAUAUCUGAUACGUGAACCAACGGUAUAUAUGAUAUUAAAUUAAUUUUUUUAGGAUGAGGGCUCACUACAGUAGCUUGCUACUGGGGUUCUUGCGUGUCGCCCAAGCGUUGCACUAUUGCUCGGUCCUGGCACAACCCACCAAAUCCUAGUUUAAAAUUUUCAAGGCCAACAUAUAUUAAGCAAUACCAAUCAAUCCCUGUUGGAAACCAAUUUUGUAGCGAUGCUUUAGUUCAAUUUUAUUUUAUACCUUCGCUCCUUAACCUAGGUCGUAUCCCUUUUUAUUUCUGAAAUUGAAGUUCCAAUUAGCUUUUGGCAAUACAAUCUUCACUUCGCUGUUUGUGUAUACGUUUUCAUAUCCCACAUCGGCUGCACAAAAAACGUGGGAGAAACAAGACUUAUGUUGUAAACAUAGACGUCCCAUUAUUUGGUUUGAGGGGAUGACAUCAUGUCUAUGUAAGCAAUGACAUCGUUGCUUAUACAUGCAUGAUGUCAUUGCUUGUAGCGGUGGGCGCGGUUCGGUUUGGUAAGGUUUUGAGUGAAACCAAAACUGUAAGUUUUUGCAGUUUGGUUCGGUGCGGUUUUUAGGCUAAAACCGAAAUGAAACCAAACCUUUUGGUUCGGUUUGGUUUGGUUUUAAACGGUUUUGGUUUGGUUUCAUUGUUUGAAAAAGCUAUUAUGGUUACCUAGUUGUAUCUCAUUUCAUCCAAUUCAAUAAAAAAGUUUUGGUGUUUGAAAGAGACAUUAUGUAAUGCAUUAUGACAUAAUGAAAAAUAAAUUGUUCAUCCAAUUCAAUAAAAAAAAUUUUGGUGUUUCAACUUACUUUGCGACUCUUAAAAAAGACCAGCACCAAAAAUCACCAAGUGAAAGUAAUUGUAAUUUACCACUAACCUCAUUGUCCGGUUGAAUAAGCAGCUCAUCGAUGAACUGGUAGACCGAUCCAACUUGAAAGCUAAGCUCCCGAAGGUGCUUACUGUCGAUUUUUGAUCUCUCACUUUCAUCGACAAGCUGUCUUUACAGAAUAAUCUUGUAACCUAUGAACGAAGUCAGGGAUACUAAUUCAUAAGCUACUUAAUGAUAUCGAAGAAUAAAUAUAAGAAAUGCACUUAGUUCAUAUUGUCUACUUCAUGCACAUCAUGCUACCAAUGUGCCAUAUCCAUCCUCCUCAAUAAACCAACUGGAGAUGCCACAUUCACCUCAAGAAUAUCUUCUUGGACAGUUCUGCAUCCUUUCCAACACACUACCAUCUUGAUGGUCAUCUAACUAUAUCAAAAUCAAACCACAAUUGUUCCGAGCAAUGUUAUCACAAACUCACAGCACCGAAAAUGUUGAAACUAUGUAUCUACAUACUUCGUAUGAUAUACUCCACCUCUAUUCAUCUUUCUUUUCUUCCCCAUCGAGAAGGACUCCCCUGUAAUGGGGUGUAUAUCCUCAUAUUCAUAUAGCUUUCAUCAUGUGGCAUAGUGCAUUGAGAGCUAUAGUAACAUGGGAAUAUGGACCCUGUGAGAGACAAGUUUUCCUCGUCCGCAAGAGUAACAGAACCAGUGUUAGCUAUAAAUUACUUGUAAACUAUUAAGCCACUAUAAGUAGAGUUAUGAGAUUUAUGAUAUCAAAGAAUUGAAUCUACAUGUUUUGAACCUUCCAUUUUUAAAACUAUGAAAAUUUCGGAACUGGAGGUUCGAAUAAAACUCAGGGAUUUAAUUUGUUACAGAUGAUUGGAAAGAAAAUAAAAGAGGAAGACAAUCAAUUUACACGAUGCAACAAAAAAUUACCGCUAAAAAUGGGAAGGGCAUAAGUCUUACUUUCCGGUUACUCGUAACGAAGCUCCUUGCUUGAAGUAUAAGGAAGAUGGAUGCAGGAAAGUCAUGCAGGUACUGCCCUGCCAAUAGCUGGGCAAGGCAUGGCAGGGUGGUAUUUCUUUUCCGUUUCACCUAAAUCCGUUUCUCAUAAAUUUCUUCAUCUUAACUUCCUUCCUAAUUAUAGUAUUAAGUGGUUGGUGACUUCCUUUAACUUUAUUUCUUGGGCCCAUAUUUUUAGAUGAACAAAUUUCUUAGCAGAUGUGAUCACUAGUACUGAUUUUCAGUUCAAUAAUUUUCGUAUUUUGGAUAAAACUUUAUUUCUUGUGACAAGAAAACUUAUUUCAAAUUUUUGUCCAAGUCAAACCUCAUAAGUCAAAUUUUGAAGUCUCAUCAAUCAAUGCUGAAUAUCUUACACAACAUGGUUGUUUUUGGUGUGUGAAAUAAGCAUAAACUAAUUGCAAUACGGGUAUAACGAGGAAGGCAUGUGAAUAGUUUAUAUCGAUCCUCAAAGUCAGCACAAGAACAAGUAGUGGGGAAUAUUUUUGCUAUUUUCUUUUUAAUUUGUGUUUUUAUCACAAAUAGUUCCUAAAAGUAACACACCCAAUUAAGGUAGUCCAUGAAAUUAAAAAUCAAUCAAUAUAGUCUCUGAAUAUUACUGCUGAAAAUCAAUGUGAUACUUUCGUUAAAUUUUCGUCAAAACUUCUGUUCAUGGCUGACAUGAGGGAACCAAUAUAAUUAAAUAUUCCCAGCUACUCCAGUUGGUUCUCACCGAACCACGUCCACCAUUGCAAGGUUCGAUUCCUCCCUCUGUCUGCAGCGCAGCUGCUGCCAUGUCCACGACGUCGAGCCCAGUCGUGGUGUUGUUAGGGUCGCCCGAGAUUGAGUGAGCACCCUACUCCACUGCACCCUUCCUCCCUCCCUGGACCCUUCAUCUGUCCCUGUAAAUCCAAAUCCCUGCACCCUUCCUUCCUCCUUGCAAAUCCAAAUUCCUACACCCUUCCUCCCUCCCUGCAAAUCCAAACCAUCACCAUCCAAAUUCCUGCAAAUCCAAACAAUCACCAUCUUUUAAAUCAAUUUGAAAAUGAAAAAACAAAUGAAAAAAAAGAACAAAGGAGAUCGAACGAUCUCCUUCCCCCUCCGACCUAAUCUGGUAAUCCCUUCCACACACCACCCUACUUUCCAGAUUACUCCCUCUGAUUACUCCUGCGUUUUUUUGUCUUUGGAAGAACCAAAACAUGCAAGAAACCAACCCAUGAUUUCGACCUCUCUCUCUUUCCCUCCUCUUGGUCUCUCAAAGAUUGUGUGUUUCUACAAAACAUGGUGGGGAAAAUGGUGGCUUGGUGCUUGGGUUGGGUGCUCACAGGUCACAGCCUCUUGGGUGCUCACAUGGCAGCAGCUACGUUGCAGACGGACACGGAGGGAGGCAAUUGUGGACAUGGUUCGGCGAGAAUCAGUUGGAUUAGCUGGGAAUAUUUAAUUAUAUUGGAUCCCACAUGUGCCAUGCCAGCCAUUAACAGAAGUUUUGACGGAAAUUUAAUGGAAAGACCACAUUGAUUUUCAGCAGUAAUAUUCAGGGACUACAUUGAUUGAUUUUCAAUUUUAAGGACCACCUUGAUUGGGUGUGUUAAUUUUAGGGACUAUUUGUGAUAAAAACCCUUUUAAUUUUAUGUGUUUGCUAAGCAACAUGGUGAUGGAAUUCCUCUUGUGCUGGCUUCUCUCCCCUUGCUUUUUUAGAUUUCUCUCUUCUGAAGGUAUGGCUCUCAGAGAUGGAUUGUUACGAGCUUUUUACACAGGACAGUAAACAAAUUUGAAAAUCAUUAUCGGUUAUAUUAGUGACAUGCUCUAUUUUUUGACGUAUUUAUAUAGUUUUUUGAGAUAUUAUAAUUCAUCAUGAAUUCUUAGUAUCAGCAUUGAACAUAUUUUUCGAGAAGCAAUUUUGGUUGCCGACGCUCUUGCAAACUUAGGUCAAUGACGUUCUUCUCCCCACGUGUGGAUUCACAGUAUCCCUCCCUUUGACCAACAUGGACAAGGUUGAAUUAGAGGUUUUUCUAUGGUAAACUAUUUCAGUUGUUUUGUUCAGGGAAAAGAGCAUAGUUGAUUGCCUUAUUGUGUCUGUGCCUUAGCAUUUUCUAGCUAGAGCAAUUUGCUCUCAGCAAAACAUCAACUUUCUUAAACAAAUUAAACUACAGCAUAUUGAAACGGCUCCGGCAUGUUUCAGCAAUCUCUUCAACGACUUAGAAGCAUAAAUAUUUCAAGGAACAGAAAGCUUUUGCAGAUCCGGCUUCCUCAUUUAGUUUCUUGUUUCCAGCUCUAUCGUUCAAACCGAGCCACAGAGGAGACUCAAAGUUGGUGCAGCCAGAAAGAGCACUGGUUGAUCUCAUCGAUCAAUCCCAUCCCAUGUGAUGUUAUAUUCCUGCUUGCUGGCGAUAAGAUGUAGUUUUGUAGGCCUGAGAGUGGUAAGAAGUAAUUGUGUUAGAGUGCAGCAAGUUAGAAACGGCGCUGCUGCAAGAAACUAUGGGGGAGUCCCACAUCGGCUAUCUGAAGAAGUAGGAGAGUUAAGACGUGGGAUAAAAACGAAAGCCCAAAAUUGAAAUAAGCAUACCUUUCUCGGCCUUUUGGCUAAGAUUAAGUGUAGUAUCUGUUCUUAUCAGUUUAAUAUCUGAUACGUGGACCAAUGGUUCACACGAUAUUAAAUUAAUUUUUUAAGGGGAAGGGUUCAUUACAAUAGCUUGCUAUUGGAGCUCUUGCGUGUCGCCUAAGCGUUGCACUAUUGCUUGGGCCUGGCACACCCCACCAAAUCAAAGUUCAAAUUUUGACGGCC
This 7793-nucleotide long non-coding RNA is filed under the name Malus domestica (apple). Its description in RNAcentral is "long non-coding RNA (MDOM_LNC011940)". The stretch from base 7571 to 7766 matches the Rfam family "U2 spliceosomal RNA". The record is from RNAcentral. Lineage: Eukaryota; Viridiplantae; Streptophyta; Magnoliopsida; Rosales; Rosaceae.